RNAcentral lists this long non-coding RNA (11840 nucleotides) under Setaria italica (foxtail millet). RNAcentral describes it as "long non-coding RNA (SITA_LNC001993)". The record is from RNAcentral. Lineage: Eukaryota; Viridiplantae; Streptophyta; Magnoliopsida; Poales; Poaceae.
UGGAAGGACAGGAAACAAUGAAAAAUUGGUCACAGAAAGACAAGCAAAAAUGUAGCCAAAUGAAAUGAAUUGCCGCUACAGAAAGUUAUUUUGUCGGUAAGCUACCUUUCUAAGUUCUCACGAAGCUGAGAAACAAGUACACCAGAAUUUUCAAUCUUUUUUACCAAGUCAUCAUUUCUUUUUAGGAGGUCUUCAUUUCUCCUUAUUAGAUCAUCAUUUCUUCCAUGAGCCUCAGUACGUGCACUUUUUAUACCAUUGCCUUCUUGUUUCUCCAUUACAAAGUUAGACAAUCUUGAUAUGGCAUCUACUUGAAGCCUAAUUCGUAAAGACAUUAGUCACCAAAAGGAUGAUAUAAUGAUCAGUAAUUUGAUGGCACAGUAGUUGACAAUUAGAGAAAAGUAAAUUAAGAUACCAACUUCUGCACAGUAUCUUGAAGCUGGUGGGCCCUGUAUUCGCUAUCCCUAACUUUCUUAAAUAACACCUCAUUUCUCUCCUGAGCUUCAACAAGGGACCUCCUGAUUGCUUCAUUUUCUUGUCUUUCAGCUUCCAAAGAAGCUGUCAUAUCCUCCUUAACCCUGUUUUGGGAUAAAAACAACAGUUGCAACUUCACAAUGCAGAUUAGUAAUAAUGGAAAACAUGAAGAACUAUUAGAGUUAAGCAUACAAAUGAGGAAAUGAAUAAAACCUAGGUUUUGUGUGAUGCAUGCUGCAUAUCCCUAGUUGAUGAAAAGUCUUAAUCUAUCUCAGAUACUCACAAAUGCACUUCUAUGUUUAUUUUCUGCUGUUAUCAUUCUUUCAACUUUGAUAGGCUUGCAACACUGAAAGAUAAUCUGCAUGCAUGUGGCACAUAUCUGCCAUCAAUGUCUCGCUCUCUCUGCAUAUAUAUCUUUCCAGAACAUGUGAUCUUGAUUCAUUUUAGUGUUAUGCAAAAAAGGUAGUGGGACAUAAGAGUGUAUGAUCCUGACAAUAUGUCAUACUACAUUUAGUAUAGAAAGACAUCUAGGUGCUAUAUUAACAGCAUGUGAGGAUAAAAAAGUCUGGUUUUUAGUAUGGAACCACAUGCCUUGUACCACUGAUCUUGAGACAUGGGAAGAAAUUCCAAAAAAAAAAACAAUGAAUUUUUUUUUGAAGGGGGGGGGGGGUUCACAUGCUGACAAGGGAGAACUAUAGGAGCGUACUUGUAAUAUAAUAUACAUAAAGCUUUAUUGAAGGUACAUACGAAUUUAUAGUGUUUUGAAGAUGCUCAGCUUUUUUGUUGGCUUCUUCUGCUUUCAUCAGUAACUCUUCAUUUUUGUAUUCACUCUCAGUGAGUGCUUUCUUCAGUGCAUCCUUCUCAUGUCUCUCAGAUAUCAGCAAAGUGUCUUUCGCUGUAUUAUCACCAAGCCUGAAAUUGAUCACCAGUUAUUAUGUCAAGUACAUCUACAUUUACGUAAGCACACUCACUAACUAUAUGUAAGCAUUCCCAGAGCCAAGCACAGCUUAAUAAAAACAAUAGAUGUAUAAAGUACCUUUGUAUGCUGCCUUGAAGAAGACCAAUUUUUUUGUCAACGUCCUCAAGCUUCUUUAGUAACUGCAAAAUUCUUUCUUGACUUUCAGCUUGUGCCUUCAUGGUUGCACUGUUUUGUUCUCGUUCUCUCAACAGUAAAACCUCUGUAGCAGAUGCGUUUUCCUGAAGCCUAGUCUCAGGUAGAAAUAUGGAGUUGAUUCAAAAGUUAAAACAGAUAAUCUUCUGAUAGAAUUUAUGCCCCUAGAGGUUGUUAAGCAGACAAUAAGGAACGAUUAUGGACCUCUCAACAGUUAGCUGAAGCUGAAGAGUAUUUUUAUCAUAAUCCUGAAUUUUCUUGAUUAAUUCUUCAUUUCUACACUGAGUUUCGGUCAGAACUUUCUUGGUCGUCUCAUGUGCUUGUUUCUCUGAUAACAAAAGUGCAUCUCUGGAAGUAGCAUCCGCUUCAGACCUUUAAAAAUCACAGUGAAAGGUCACUAUCACAGUGUAAUGAUGAUACUGAGCAAGAAGUUGGGACACAUACUCAAGAGAAAGCAUCAGACCUCUUGAUGGUAUCUUCCAAUUGUUUUCUGGUUUCUUGGGACUGUUGUGACUCGUGUACUAAUUCAUUGAUCUUUUUCUGGGCGUUGGCUAUUUCUUCUUUAGUCGUUUUGUUUUCUUGUCUUUCUACUUCCAACAAAGAGUCUUUCUCCGCUGUGCGUUCUUCUAGUCUAUGUGCAAAAAGAAAAGAAAAUCCUCAAGAAACAGGCAGAUCAGAAAUGCUUGUAACAAAAGGAAUCUAACCUGUUAACUGAAUCCUCAAGCAUAUUGAUUUUUUUAGCUGAAUCCUCGAAACUUGUCAUCAAGUCUCGGUUUCUCCCUUGAGCUUCAGUUAGCGCUUUUACUGUACAGUCGAGAUUUUGUUUUGUCUUAAGCAGCAAAGAUUCCCUUGCCGUUGCAUGUUUCUCAAGUCUAAAAUCAUUAAGGAAGAGGAAGUAUGUGUUAGCUCAUAAAGUUGAAGUACAGGAUUAGCUCUCUUAAGUUGCACAUAUUGCAUUAUGCUUGAGUAAAGAAAGCUCAGCUCUACAACUAGUGACAAGAUAAGAACCUUUGAGCGUUCUCCAGCAUCUUGUUUAUAGUUUUUUCACUAUCAUCAACUUUCCUUAGCAAUUCCCAAUUUCUUUCCUGAGCUUUCAAAAGUGCUUGCUUGGUUUGAUCAUGCUCUUGCCUUUCUGCUACAUACAGGGCAUCCCUUGUGGUUGCAUUUUCCUCACACCUGUAUUCAGUGAGUGAGAAUUCUUAACGCUGCCAGCUCGUUAUAUUGAGGACUGGAAUAGAAAGGCAGAAGCAGCAUUGCUAAAGACGUCCAAAACGUACACAACAUCACCUGCACCUAUGAUCAAUCCUCUAUACGACACAUCAUUGCUAUGACAUAUAAUAUACUUUUUAAUCCUUUACUUUCAAAUAUUUCCAAAGAGGUAUUGAUAAAUGCAGCUGUGGAACUCCCUUUGUUGUUUCAUGUAACUACGACUCGCAUCGAGAUCUUAAGCACCUUGCUAAAACAUGCUUAUUAAUUUUCUUGUUGCACCAUUCAUGCUUGCAUGUUUUUUAUGCAAUUUGAGUAUAUGAACAACUAGAACGUCAAUUAUUCAUAUUCCUUUCAAACAAAAGAAAAAGAAUUCAUAGCACCAUUUGUCCUUUUCAAAGAAUGUAACAUUAGAAAUCAACCUUUUCAAAGAAUCUUGAAGCAGAUCAUUUGUCCUACGGGCAUCUGCAAAUUUCUUCUGCAGUACUUCAAUACCCUGUUGUGCUUCAGUUAAUUGUGAAAAGGUUGCAGUACUUUGUUGUUUUUCAGCUAACAAUGAAGUCUCCAAUGUUGUCACAGUUUCUUCAAGUCUAUGUUAAUUGAAAAGAAAAUUCAGCAUUGUUGAUUCAAGAUUAUUAUAGUAUAAUAAUAGUUAACAAAAUUUGGAAGGAGCUUAUAACUGAAGUCAAGCACGAAUCAAAUCACGGAAAGGAAAAUGCAAUUACCUUUGGAUGUUGUCUUGGAAGUUACUAAUGUCUUGUUCAGCUACUUCAAUUUUAUUGAGAAGUUCCUCAAUUUUUACAUGAGCUUCAUUGAGUGAUUGUUUGGUCGCUUCACUUUCUUGUCUUUCUGUAAGUAAAGUAGCCUCUCCCUCAAUUAAGCUUUCUUGCAGCCUGUGUCCACGAAGAAGAAAAGAUAAUGAAGUUUAAGUCAACCAAAUAGUCCUACUUUUCUAUGUGGUUGCCAAGAAUCACACAGAUAAUAUUACUGAAAAUUUUUGGAAGGGUUAUAUGAGGUGUAGGACUGCUUGGAAAACAGCUAAUGUGCCUGAAUUGAUAAGUAGUUCCUGUUGGGUUUCAACUUUACCUACCCCAACUUGCUUGGGACUGAAAGGCUUUGAUGUUGUUUUUAUUGGUUAUAUGAGGUGUAGGACAAAUCUUAUGUUUUUUUUACUAAAUAAAAUGACCUUUGCACAACAGUCUGAAGCUCUGUGGAUUUUUCUUUGGCAUCUGAGAUUUGUCUCAGUAGUUCUUCAUCCCUCUGGUGCGCUUCACUUAGUUCCCUUCUAGUUGUCGUGUUUUGUUCCUUUUCCAUCAUCAAUGAAGACUCCAGUUCUGUCACAUUCUUUUCAAAUCUGCAUUCAACAGACAGGAAGAUUUCUGUACUUCCAAAAUAGUAAGGAUGGGACUCGAUUUACUUGAUUAUGGUUAAGUAUAUGGUAAAGUACCAGCGAGCUUUACAGUACGACAAAUGGAACUAAAAUAAAGGUUUGAGUUGGUUGUAUUAGUGGGCCUUUGCAAGUUAACAAAAAAAAACAAUCCUUAAUCUUUAAUUCUCUAUUACAUCUUCAUCUGCAUCUUGAGCUUCAGUGAGUAAUGGGAAGUAAAGCAUCAUAUACAUUGGCAUUCUUUAGAUCCAUUAGGCUUUGACAAAAUGGGAUAUUAUGACCUCAGCAAAGAAAAAAAUUAGUAUUGAGAUCUGCCUGAUCUUGCUCUAUCACAACGAUAACCAGGACAAUGGCAUGCAUUCACACAGUUUCCUGAAGCAGACAAAUUAGUUUACCAGAGUGUAUUUGAUUUCCUUGCUAGUACUUUGUUUCACUCUUGAGUACUUUAUUUCACUUUUGAGAUUCAGUUAGUGCGAUCUUAUAUUCUUAUUUGCUUCAUAUUAAUAUUUUUCACCUGGAAACCAUACAUACAUUUACUUCUAAUCUGAAUCAACAUAGCCAAAGAGCUUGGAUAGUUUGGUAUGUUCUACUGCAGUACUGCUAGUCUGAAACUGCAGUUACUAGUGUCAAACAGACAAUUCAAUGAACCAACAGAUCUAGAGUGUCCAACUGUUAUCUUAGUAUCAUAAUGUGGUUUAGCAAUGCUAAAUCAGAUCCUGGCAGCAUACACUGUCAGCAUUUAAGUAUGCGUGACUGCAUCAGCAUCCAUGUCUGAUACAUGUGCUCGUAGAGGUUUCUGUGUCUGUCAGAGCUGUGCAUAAAAGUAGCAGUGUUAAGGGAUAUGUUCUGUUGUAGUGAAAGGCUUAGAAAUUAUGUGGUGCUAUCCUGAAAGUAAUACUAGUUUUUAGUAUUGGCUCCUUACAGAAAUUAAGGUCUAAAGUCACUGAGCUACUAACCUUUUUACAGCAUCUCUAAGCUGCUCAAUGUUUUCGUCCGCGGACACAAUUUUUGUAGUCAGUGCAUCAUUUUCUUCCCGAGCAAUAACAAGUGCACUCUUAGUUGCACUGUUUUCUUCUUGUUCUCUUUGUAGUAGUACCUGUCAACAGCCAUCCAUUAAAAAAAUAUCAUGCUACAGAUAAAUAAGUUACUGCUACCAUCAGACUCUAAUCAAAUAUGGGAUAUGUUUUGUAAUCAGCUGUUCUUUUACUGUUUAACAUGAAACAGAUGCUGUAACUGUGUUUUGUUUAUUAGAAUAACUAUUGCAAUGCUUAAAUCCUUGCAAAUAUCUACACAGUUUGGAUAAUUACUAUGUUGAUUUAGGAAAAGAGUACCUUCAGCUCCUCCACUUCGUUAGUCAAUGAAGUGAUCUUUUCUCUUUCUUGAGUUAAAGCUUCUUCAAUGGCCCUUUUGCCUAAUUCUCUUUCCUGUAUCUUUGUGGCUUCUUCCACCCGCUGCUCCAUCUCACGAAGAGCAGCCUGUAGUUUGGAAAUUUCUCCUGCUUUGUUCUUCUCUAGAUCAAUCUGAAAAGUGAUACUGUAUAAGCAUAAAUUCACCAGUUAAUUCAUCCCACGUUAUCUUAAUUCAAGAGCAGCAUCUACCCUAAGUUUCUUUUCCAAGCCCAAACAGCUAGUCAGCUCUACAACAUGCUCCUCAAGUUUCUCCUUCUCCACCUUCAGGGCUUCUGUGUCCCUUGCAGCCUACAAAAUGUACCAAAAAAAAAUAAAAGGGUGUGUAAGUGAAAUAUAGAAUCAACAUGAUUAAAACAAAGACCCAAUUGCUUCAGUACCAUUUUGAGCUUUCGGAGUUCUCCUCUAGCAACCCGUCUUCUCCAUGCACACUGAUAAAUUAACACUGAUCUCUUCAUUUUACAAUAGUUCGAAUAAUCUCUAUGGCAUCGCCACUGAGCCUGCAAGCAACCAUUCUCAGAGUGACAGUUCAGAGAUGAAACAUGUAAGAUAUGAAAGUUGAGAUUUGUAACCAGCCUUCCAUUUAGAUAAAAUAAAAGAAUGAAUCUGUGGUUUACCUGGAUACGAAUAGUGGCUUUAUUUUGUUUUCUGAGAAUGUAUUCUUUAUAAGCACCAAACGCCCUUAGUCCUGUCUGCAACGUAAUGGCUGAAGAGCGUAGCUUAGAAUAAGAGUUCCAAGCAAGAUAGCAGCGGUAACUUUUCUGUAGAUGCAACGCUGCAGCUUGUUUUCUCAGGAAAACACGUAACUUACAAGCCAAUAUUACUGCAAUUGAUAAGGUACUCUCAGAUAUGAUGCAACCUGAGCUAUAAGCAUUGUUUCCACUUGCAAAUACCAAUUAACAACACCUUACCUCUAACAAAAGAUUGAAAAGAUAGUGAUGUCUUGCGUAGUACAAGGAAUUGCUCACGAGCAACAUGAGUGCGAAAUCUACUCUGAACAACUCUAGCUGCUUUAUUCCGCACUUCAGUUCUUCUAGCAUCUAAUUCAGCCAUCUGACCAGCUCUCAGGAAAACCUUUGUUCUUCCAAUCUGUCAUGGACACCGAUAAUUUAAAAUAUCGCGAGAAAAUUUUGUUAUCUCUUUAUAUGCUACAAGCAGGCAUUUCUGCCAUGCAAUUUAUAAAAGAACACACCACGAGGGGAAGUUACGUAUUCCAUAUUGUGAUUGUUGGCAAAAAAAAUGAAAAUCAACAAAAGACUAAAAGCAACUGAUGGAGUAGUUAAAAGUUAGCAGCUGAAUUUUCAGUGGUGUGAACCAAAAUUUUUUGAUGGUAUAAAUCAAUUUUUUGGGGGGGGGGGAAAGAACAAUCAUAAAAAAAUAUGGACUAAUGCCAUUCGCGUGAAUCAUUUUGUUCACUUCUUUAUUAUUUACCACUUCAUAGGCUGUAGUUACUCGACAAGAACAAGCAUUGUGUUUUUACUUUAGUGACUUGUUUUGGAUUAUUUAGAGAUGAAAAGAAUGCAAUAAGCAUAUAACACACAUAAAAGGAGGAUUAGUUAUAGUUUUCUUCACCUGAUAACCCUGGAGACCUAUUUUGUCCAAAAUCUUUUGGCAGGUCACCUUUUCAUUGUUUCUAUCAGAUAUAAGAGAAGAGUUAUAAAAGCAGGACAGAACUGGCAAUAUUAGUAGAUCACGAAAAAAAUAUUUUUGUUAUCAACUUGUUAAGUAUAUCUAGGCCCAUAUACUCUAGGCCCAUGUGGCCCAUGUGCUCUAUAUACACACACACACACAUCAAGCCUGUGAGAUCAGAACUGCAAGUAGCAGAUUUUUUACUAAAGCACAAACUCGAGAACAACAUUGGCUUUCCAAGGUUAGUAACAAAACUGAGUGCUCACCUUUCCAUGAAAACUUCAGGAGCAAGAAUGCGAAACCGACAGAGAAAAUCAUGAAAUAUUUUUCUUGUAGGAUAUCCAGCACAGCUGAUUCUAAUAGCUUCAAGAACACCCUGAAAUGCCAACAAACAAUUAGAGUAGAGUAAACAAUGGCUGAGUUUCUAUGGAAACUUUGCCAUGAAGAGUGAUCUGUUGCUUACUGAACACCGAAGUUGCUGCAGUACAUUGAUGUUCUCAAAAGUAGUAGGCUUAAGAUUGUUAUUGGGCUUAAUACAUCUAAUGUAAUGAGGCUCCGUAGAACUCAACGUCUCCAUCAGUUCUUGGAGUUGCCACUGAGAGUUACAUGGAAGUACCAGAUAUGAAGUUUACAUGAAACAUAGCUCGAUGGUGAACACAAACUUAUAUAUAUUCUCUUCCCUUUCUCUAUCAAGUAAUAUGCAUUUAUUUUCUAGAUAUGCCAUUUCAAAUAUAGUAACAUUUAUGUAACGCCCCACAUCCAAAAUCUGCCUAUAGCUCAGCUCACCUAUGAAGCUCUUACAUCCAAAAUCUGCAUGUCACCUCUUACACCUUUGUGUUCACUUGGUGUAAAAAGGUAAUUCGGAGGUGCUAUGUCUGAACACAAAGGAUUGGCCCUCACCUACCCAAUAUCUCCCUCCAUCAACCCGCCUCCCUUUCUAACACAGUAACACAUGAAAAGUUUGCACAUGGGACUAAUCUGACCAUGACAAGGCAACUACUAAUGGGCUGCGGGAUUGUAUUUUCAUUAUGUGCAAACUUUUUCUUGUCUUAUCUUGUUUGUUUGUUUAAUUGGAAAAUCAAAUGAUGAUGUUUUUAAACUCUAUAUCUGGACAUAAACCCGAAAACAAGAUAUGUACAAGACAGUCAUAAUUCUUUUAUUCUACUGUUGUGUUGUACAGAAAGUUUGUUGUCUUAAAUAUGCAGAAGGAUAUUAACCUCGUAAACACAUUUUGGUAAAAGCAAACACCAAAAGAACCAUCAUCAAUAGAAAAAAAUCUGAAGUAUGUACCCUAAAUUCUAGAGUUGGGGCCAAAUGUAUCUCUGAGAAAUUUAAUUCUCGAAAGAGAACCAAAGCCAAACUUCAGGUGAAAAAAUGGGACUUCUGUAAAUAAUUUUUCUCCAACCAACUUUGGAAAGGAUUUGAAGGCAUAAUAAGUCAAGUAGGAGAAUCAUACCUUGAAGCGAGUAGCAAUGGAAGACUUUGAUGCUUUUGUGUUCUCCUCUAGUACUGAUGGGAAUAACCCUGACACAAAUGAACACUUGGAAGCAUUAAGUAACUCUUGAUGUUCUACAACUACAUAGUCUCUGUUUUUGUCCAGGAAAUGGUCAGACUGAUAAGUUACCUGGGAAAAAACAUGAAAUUAAAACGAAUGUACUCAACAAAAUGUACUGAAAAGAAAGCUAUAUCAUGAAGAAUGCUUACUUCUCCCGCAUAAUGUUGUAUGUUAAAUGCAGUGCGAGAAAGCUUUGGUUUGCUAAAUCUUUUGUUAUUCCUGAAUUUCUCAUACAGCUUCUGAGAAAAUGAUUCAUGUGUGCAUUUAGGAAACAUACUGGUGCACAAAAAUAAACCAAAAACAAAAGAAUCUCCAUUAGAAGAAUUGAUUUGGAAAUAGAAAUGAACAGUGCUCUUUAUAGAAUGAAAGGAACCAUUUAGACCAGUCUCAGUGGAGGUUUCAUCAAAAGUUUCAUGACCAUUAAAUAACAUGCCACAUCAGCAAUUUUGCUGACAUGGCAAGAUCAUUAUGAGAGGAGAGGAGAGGGAGUUUCAUCACCAUGAAAUCCAGCAGUCACAGUUAUCUAGUUCUCAGCCUUGGUAAAUGUGCCAUGAAACUGUGCACUGAGACUGACCUUAGAACUACCUUUUAUAUUAAAUGCAAUACAAGAAGUUCAGACUCACCAAGCUUCAUCAAGAAGUGCAAUAAUGCCACCAGGUUUCUGAAAAUAAAGAGGGAAGAAAACAUGAAAGGGUUUAGGUAAAAAUAUAACGAUAAUACACGUUUACAUUAGCCCCUAGCACUGCCAACAGGGGUGAAGCCAGCUGACAUGGACGCUGGGGUCAGCUUCAUUAACACGGUGGGGUCAGCUUAGAGAUUAACGUUGUUUUGUUAAGGAUUUGUAGGAUUUUAUCUGGGUCAGCUGACCCCGAUAAAAGAGCCUGAGUAAAUUUUACUAUGGGUCCAUAAGCUUUUCCUGAAGUUCCAUCUAAGUCCAUGAACUAAAAAAGCGGUCAUCUAAGUCCACAAUCUAUUAAAGAGUGGUUGUGGACGUCCACGAGCGUCCACGUAAGCACAUUUUGCCAGCGUGGUAAAAAAUUGCAAAAGAUGGCCUGCGUCUCUCAUUUUCUCACUCUCUCAUCCUUGUCCUCAUCGCCGAGCUCGCCCCCGUCCCUGCCUCUGCCUGCAUAGCGGCACCACCAGCAGCACGGCCACGCUGCCGCGGAAGGGAGUGCCAGGGGGUUGUGGCCACAGCCCACCAGCCCUCCCCCUCGUCAAGUCAAGUCAAUAAAGGUCACGACUACAAGGGAUAAAAAUAACAGCCUACUCACUGACAUUGCACUUCGUGGAUGUUUUAUGAGAAAAGGAGAGGCAGAUAUCAGCACUGUAUUCGCAAACAGCAAAAUAGCUCAUCCACAGGUCAAAAAAUACUGGAGUAGUGACUGAUGAUAUUUUUUUCUUAAAACUGUUUUGGAUGCAUUUGAGGGAAGGCCUAUUCUCAUAAGUUCAGGUGGUCCACAGCAGUGCAACAGCACCACCACAUUCUCCACAGUGCCCACAACUACAGCGACAUAGGGAUAAGCAGAUAUCUCCUCAAUUAGAUGUUUUGCCUCAAGUUAAAACAUAGGAUUCAGUUAGUUAGCUAUAAUUUUAAGCAAGGAUUAGACCUUAAAGGUACAUCUAAUAGGCAGGUCAGAGCCUCCUGCUUGGCUGGAAUCACAGUUGAGACACCUUCAUCUAACCUUAUCCCCUACCCAACUCAACAUACCAUAUCAAAACCAAGUAAUGUCAUGGUGAUAAUGACCAUUAUAGGACUGGAAGAUGCAAGGCUAAGCUGCUUAAAUUAAAACUAAAAAAAUAACAACACACCUUCUCAAUCAAGUCCAGAACAUCUUGGUUGUCAACAAAUUCUAUGUAGCUCCAGUCGAUCUGCUCCCUGUUAUACUCUUCCUGCUCCAUUUUAAAGACAUUCUGCCAAGAAAAUACUAACUCUUUUACCAACCCAUAGAAGCAAAGAGAAGUAUAAUAUUGUGAACAUCCAAACAUUUGUUCCACAAGUACCUGAUUAAAAUGCUGUUGGAGUUUUUCGUUGGUGAAAUUGAUGCAUAAUUGCUCAAAGCUAAUUCCAUAUUAUGAUAAAGACAGGAGACAUCCAUGAAUGGUCUUCAAUUGUAAAUUGAAAUCAUACUUAAGUUAAUAAUUUACCUAUUAGUCUUAAAACUUUCAAAACCAUAGAUAUCAAGUACUCCAAUCAAUCGGUCAGAGGAUGUAUCUUGUCCUAUGGAUGCAUUUAGUCUGUUUACAAGCCUGUGCAUGGUACAAGCACACACGCUUACAAGGGUGCAUUGUGUACAUGAUUUAGGAAUGAAGUACACAGUCGUAUUCACUACCAGUCAAAUAAUCGAGAAUAUAUCUGCUUUGCUAAGCCAUCCCUGCUAACAGUAGCAGAAUUAGGAUCAACUGUUGUGGUUAUAACUCCUUCUGGUGUAUUUAUUUUCCUCUUUAUCAGCACAUUCUCCAGGUUCCCGCCAUCACACCUGUAAUCAGAAUGCCACAAUGCAUCAUAGGUUAUAAAUGUGAAUGUACAUGCAUAUUACGGAUUGAGUCCUUAUUGUACCCCCUUUCCUGUUCUGUAUUUUACAAGAAAUAAACAGAAUUUAUAGAAAAUUAUAGAAAAAUGAAGGAAAUAUUAGGCAUACAUCAAGAGCUCUGCUGCUGCAUUAAGAUGGAACCUAGCUUUCUCAUCCUUUAAUAAAGAUGAAUCUACCUCUCUCCCUUUCACAAAACUGAUAUUCCCAAGGUGGAGCACAGCAGCAACUACCCGGAAUGUGGCCUCCUGCAAUAUUAUGUGUUGCUUAAAACAGGUUACACAUCCACAUCAUAGAAAGGGUUGAGAAAUUCAUGUCUGAAACCUGCUCCUGCUCAGUAAUACCAACUGUAUUCAUCGCACUUCGUGUUGCAAGAUACUCCUUAGCAUCACUAAUUUCGUCAAGUUUAAUGCACGUGGAUUGAUUGAGAUAGUGAAACGAUGAUGGCUCAGCCAGCUUAUACCUUUUGAUAUCCUGCCAGCAGGGUAUAUUCAUCAGCCAAGAAUCGGAUACACAACCAGUCAAUCAAUUGAGCUAGCAAAGUACC